GACGAACGCUGGCGGCGUGCCUAAUACAUGCAAGUGGGACGCAAGGAAACACACUGUGCUUGCACACCGUGUUUUCUUGAGUCGCGAACGGGUGAGUAACGCGUAGGUAACCUGCCUAUUAGCGGGGGAUAACUAUUGGAAACGAUAGCUAAUACCGCAUAAUAUUAAUUAUUGCAUGAUAAUUGAUUGAAAGAUGCAAGCGCAUCACUAGUAGAUGGACCUGCGUUGUAUUAGCUAGUUGGUAAGGUAAGAGCUUACCAAGGCGACGAUACAUAGCCGACCUGAGAGGGUGAUCGGCCACACUGGGACUGAGACACGGCCCAGACUCCUACAGGAGGCAGCAGUAGGGAAUCUUCGGCAAUGGACGAAAGUCUGACCGAGCAACGCCGCGUGAGUGAAGAAGGUUUUCGGAUCGUAAAGCUCUGUUGUAAGUCAAGAACGUGUGUGAGAGUGGAAAGUUCACACAGUGACG
Molecule: ribosomal RNA, 472 nt
Filed under: Streptococcus mutans
Lineage: Bacteria; Bacillati; Bacillota; Bacilli; Lactobacillales; Streptococcaceae
Description: bacterial SSU rRNA
Rfam family: Bacterial small subunit ribosomal RNA
Source: RNAcentral